CCUACGGGCGGCAGCAGUGAGGAAUAUUGGUCCAUGGACGAGAGUCUGAACCAGCCAAGUAGCGUGAAGGAUGACUGCCCUAUGGGUUUUAAACUUCUUUUAUAUGGGAAUAAAAGGUUCACCGUGUGGGAUUUCGUAUGUACCAUAUGAAUAAGGAUCGGCGUACUCCCUGCCAGCAGCAGCGGUAAUACGGAGAAUCCGAGCGUUAUCCGGUUUUAUUUGGUUUAAGGGGAGCGUAGGUGGAUGGUUAAGUCAGUUGUGAAAGUUUGCGGUUCAACCGUAAAAUUGCAGUUGAAACUGGCAGUCUUGAGUACAGUAGAGGUGGGCGGAAUGCGUGGUGUAGCGGUGAAAUGCUUAGAUAUCACGAAGAACUCCGAGUGCGAAGGCAGCUCACUGGACUGCAACUGACACUGAGGCUCGAAAGCGUGGGUAUCAAACAGGAUUAGAUACCCCAGUAGUC
This 460-nucleotide ribosomal RNA is filed under the name uncultured bacterium. Its description in RNAcentral is "partial 16S ribosomal RNA". It matches the Rfam family "Bacterial small subunit ribosomal RNA", at positions 338 to 795 of the family's 1533-position model. The record is from RNAcentral.